GCUGGUGUUGAGAGGCGGAGACUUGGGCAAUUGCCGACCAUCCCAGAGGGCAUUGCACUUGUCUCGGUCUGACAGUGCCGGC
RNAcentral lists this microRNA precursor (82 nucleotides) under Seriola lalandi dorsalis. Its description in RNAcentral is "Danio rerio miR-25 stem-loop (ENSSLDG00000024332.1)". It matches the Rfam family "mir-25 microRNA precursor family". Lineage: Eukaryota; Metazoa; Chordata; Actinopteri; Carangiformes; Carangidae. The record is from RNAcentral.